RNAcentral lists this long non-coding RNA (789 nucleotides) under Gallus gallus (chicken). Lineage: Eukaryota; Metazoa; Chordata; Aves; Galliformes; Phasianidae. The record is from RNAcentral.
AUUUCCAAAAGGGUAACACGACUAAACAAAUUGUAUCAGACAGUGACACACAUAUUAUGCUCCGUUACCAAGACCCUAAGCUUAGUCAGAAAGGGAGCGAGGAAUGGAGCAAAGGGAAGGGAAUGUCUGUUCACAGAGAACUGAAAGAUAUAUGCUGCACUUCACUUUUCUCUCAAAGGUCCUGAAGAAAAGUUUUAUAAAGCUACCUCUAGCUACUUCUCACACAAGUAACCAGUUCAAAAAUCAAUUCUGAACAGCAUCUGCUUCUGAAAAGACCAAAACAUCCCUGCAGUCUGAUGUCUAAUGACAUUCUUGGCUUGUAACAACACAUAUUCACCUCUCCUCAUCGUUUGCUAGAUCGCUUUUCAUACUUAUCCUUUGUGUGCUGGCUCCUGCUUCGGUGCCUAGGAGGAGAGUAGCUGACUCUCCUUCUGGACUGAAAGCUGGGUGUGUAUGGGUGAAUUCUGUGUUUCUUUGGUUUUUCUUCUUUCCUGCUUUUGUUUGGCUCCGGCUCCUUGCUGACUUCCUUUUGCUCACGUUCUUGGUCUUGUUCUUUCUGAGAUGGUAAUGUGUUUUUGAUGGUAUUAAUAAGAAAUCUUUUGUUUGCACCAGCAAGAGGACAUUUCAACCAGCCCAUUGCUCCCAUUGUUUCAGCUCUGGUUCUCCCUCGUUUUGCCUCCUUCAGUAACUCUUCCACAGCCUUCCUCUCCAGCUCUGGGUCCUCCUCCAUAGCGAACUGCUGCCCGGCUCGUCACGCUGAUGCCGGCACCAUACCCGCACUCAAUCCAG